UUCGGUCCAAACCAGUGGCUCUAACAGUGUCUAAUUGACACAGCGCCACACAAUUGUAUUUCAAACUAAUCUUACCAGUGGGAGAAUUGAAUUGUUAUGCUCUCUCGAGUGCGCGCCUAGAUCCCAACUCCAAAGGUUGAUGAGACGAAGAGAUGAUUGAGCACUUAGACAGGACGUGUUGCGAUUCAAGUAUAAUUAUUCACGGGCCAUUUCGUGAGGAUUUGAAGAAUUUCAUUCUUUUAAAGUGAAAAUAACUGCUUAUAUGAUAUUUAAUUAUUUGAUUGGAUUAAGAAUAAGCGAUCAGUCACUUCUAGAUUCCUUUCAAAAUUCUCUUUUCCAGACAGUUCAGAUUUAUGUGCUGAUGACUUAUGAUUUGUGAAACCUUUUCAGGCAUGCUCAGUGAGGUAUGCUGAUCUGAAGGCAUGCAUUACCCGGCUUCCAGAGAAUGGGUAUGGAUCAAUGAAAUGACAUGGCCUGCACGUUUGCAAACACCACCCAGCAGGCUUCAGAGCAUACAAAUUGAUGCCUACAUACCAAGAAAGGAGCUCUUCAAGGCGGAAUCAAAAUACUGGAAUGAGAUAAUAGCAAGAUAUGGCCGAGUUUUACACUGGACAAAGAUUAGGUUAAGAAAUGUAAUGGACAUGAGAGCUGCUUUGGAGGGUAUCAUAAUCAUCUCAUGCUCUACUCUUCCAUUGUAAUACUGGUUUUACAUUUCUCCUAAUGAGCUAUAAACUGGCUUUGGCAGAUUUGCAGCGGCACUAAUAGAACAAAAUCUUGAUUAUUGGGUUAUGAACGUUGUUCCUGUCAGCGGACCCAACACGCUGCUUGUUAUAUAAUGGAUAUUGUAGUUCAUCAGAUUAAGUAAUUAUAUUGGUCACACCUCAAAUUGUACGUUUUUGAGGUUAUUCGAUCA
Carya illinoinensis is the source of this 913-nucleotide long non-coding RNA. RefSeq lists it as uncharacterized. The record is from RefSeq and is a predicted model, not a curated record. Lineage: Eukaryota; Viridiplantae; Streptophyta; Magnoliopsida; Fagales; Juglandaceae. The transcript is spliced from 2 exons.